UGGGGGCCGCUCAAAACGCCCGUACGUGAUUUCGUGGAGGUGUGGGGGUGACGGCUGCGUAUGACCGGGUCUCUCCGAGAUCACUGUGGUCUCGGCCACCCGCUGGUAGCUGCUCACCGGGGGUGCUGGGUGAAAGCGGUGGUCUCUGCAAAAUGACUACGUUAUGUGUGAGUUUGAUAGGAGUCACCAUGGUGAGGAAAGGAAUAAUGGAUUUUCAGUCAUGGCUUCCUUCUUCCCCCGGAGAGCAAUGAGUCUGUUUCCCUUUUUCAAUAACAGCUUUAUUACAGCAUGUUAAAGGGAAACAAGAAGAUGAACAGACCGGGCCUGGCUGUGCAGCGAUCACUCUUCUGAGGAGCCUGUGUGAAGAGAUGCUGGUCUGGGAGUCAAUCUGAGGAAAAGCAGAAGAUAUUUGCUUUAUAUCUGAAGUAUUAUUCAAGUUCACUCCAGAAGACAAGAGAACUGUUGGUACAUGAUUUAUAUAAAGCUCUAAGACCUGGUGCUGAAGGAAACUUCUCUCAGAAGUGUGCGUUUAUUUUUUGAUACCUUUGGUGAUACGUGCUGCUUCAUCUACCAUCUCUGGGCAUCAACCAGCCCUGUGUUUCAGGCUGUACCGGAUGGCAGUACUUCUUUGUUUUUGUAAUGUAUGUCUCACUUACUGAGAAAGAAGAUGAAGAUUGGCUUUGACAUUGUGUUGCUGCACUGUAAAUUUUACUAUUAGAGUAAGGUGCAAAGGUAUCCUAAAUCCGUCUGAUGGCUCACACCAGACCUCUGUCAGGAGCUCUCUGAUUAGAUUUCCUAGGAAGUCAAAACACUGCACCAAAAUGGUAGCAGGAAGGAUUGUGCAGUGCUGGAAGAUCUCAUCCUGCCUGCUUAUAGUGCUGACUGUGCUUCUGCUUUUUGAGAAGACAGGAGAAGAAAGAUGGAGAAAGAGGAGAUGAGAAGAUUUGGAUGGAAAAUAAUACAGUUUUCAUUGCAGACUUAGAAGGGUAUCUACAAUUUUGUAGCAUCAUGAUUUGAGUGUCCAGAGAACCUCCAAAAUAAGACUUAAGACCUUAAUGAAGGUUUUAUUUUGGAGAGAAUACAAAAAGCAGCUGACAGUAUUUUAAUAGUUUUUUCUGGACUUGCCUUUUCAGCCUCUUAAAAUUAAUUGAAGAGCCACAGACCAACACACAUUUAUAAAUAACAUAAUGCAGUUGGGGAUAAUGCAAAUGUCUUUAUAAAUAACACAGUAUAGCUUAAAUCAUUAUUUUUAAUGCUGCUGUUUUUUGUUCCUAUAUGAACAGGUCUGUACUGGUCUGCAUUAAUUAAAUUUAAGUAGGAUUUCUAAGGCCAGAUCAUCAUUACUUCUGUGGACCUGAUUUAAGUCUGCAGUAAAACAUUUCUCCAUUUAGUCUGGUGCUUUUGUGUCAUAUUUCAUACACUAGUUGUCUCUUAAUUAAAUCCAUGAUGGCCCACCAACACAGACUAUUAAAAUAACUAUACUUUGCACUUGACAUAUUUAUGAUACAGAUUCAUAAGAGUAUAGACUGAUACUUGAACUACUCACUGAGAAAUGCUAAUAAGAUUAUGAUGAAGUUAUAUCUUUCAUGGAAAGGCUCCUGUACAUCACUGAAUCCAAGUGUGGGCACAAUUGCAGAUGGCUGUAAAUACAUGCAGUUUGAAGGAUAUUUAUAUUAUCAGUGUGGUGUAUAGAAACCCAGAUCUACAUGGUGUUCUGAUUUCUUUGGUGAUGAUACAUUACCGUGCUUCACACUGGUAUUUUCUAUGAAAUUAUUGAGUGAAGUCACUGCCUGGCAGAUCUCUCAGUGAUGUCUCAGAAGGAAAGGAGAGCGCUGGUGGGGCUGUGCAGUGGCAGCACAGGGAGAAGUGCUGGGGCUGUGUGAUGGCACGGAGACGGCACUGCAAGGAAAGAGGAAGAGUGAGUGAACCUGCGAGCAGCACAAGCCCAGGGCAGAAACAGACAUCAUCUGGAACUGUCUGCCCACCAAUGCUUUAGAAACAACACUGAUGAUAACAAAGCAUAAACUGGAAAGAUGGCCAUUAUUUGUAAUCACAGGUUUUUAAGCCCAGGACAGUGUGCGCAUUAUAUAACUGCUCUACGCAUACCUUCAGCAUGAAUAUGAAGAAUACAUAUGUCAAGAGCUACAAGCCCAGUGCACAACACUAUCUGUUACACACGGAUACCGGCAAUAUUACAAGGUGGACUCCAGGGAUAAGAGACAGCCAACCCCGCACACCUCCCACGCCUGAGUCAUACCCGGGGUAACGCCAGGUCCUGCUCAUACCUGCUGUCGGCAGAAAUGAAACAGUACGAGCUGUUGUGUUUCAGAGCCUUUUUUAAUUGAUUCUCCAGAAUGCUUGAUCUUACCUGCUGAUAUCCCUGUGUUAUUAUUCAGAGGCACAGUCUAUCUGCAUAGCAAUGGACAAAAUGCCUGUGAAAAUAUUGCUAUUCAUUCAGUCGAUGCCGGAACUGGAGUAGGCACCAGCUACACUCUGCAAUGCUUGUCCUGGAAUAUUAAUAAAUAAAUCAUAAAAGCCAAUGCUUCAAAUAUUGAAAAAUUCACACUUCAAACUGUGUUUUGAACUAUACUGAGAGCAAUGUCUCAGAUUGUCCUUUUGCUUUAUAUGAACAGAGGAAAUUCAAAGUAGGAGGAACUCUCUCUGGGGAUUUGGUGUAGGGGAGUGCCACAAACCAUCAUCCUUCCUGUCUCUGCCAUGCCAGAGUGGCCUCUCCUGGGAUGUGCCAUGAGGAGCAGACAGCACAUCUGGGGAGCUAAUGUGGCUUCAGAUGAAAUUAUCUCCUGCAGAAUCCAUCUUGGCUGACAGCAACGUGCACGCAAAGCAGCCAGGCAGUGGCGGGGAGCCAGGUCACAGCAGGGCAGGUGAAGGCUCGGUGGAAGGCAGCACCUCCCUGUGACUGUCUGGGUUAAACAAAGUUCCUUGCCACACUGGUUAUCCUUCUAUUCAGGGCUCAUAUUGGUAAGCUCAAUGUCAUUGAAGCCCCCAGCCCUGCUACCCACUUGCAGUGCUCUCUCGCUGCAGGUCCUGACUCACAGAGUGCUGCACGGUGUGCUGUGCAUGUCCGCUGUGCAAGGAAGGGUGAGGGAAGAUGCGCUCUGAAAGGUAUGCUCUAGUUCAAGAAUUGCUAGCUGGGCUGGUGUCUGAACUGCAGAAUGGGUUUCCGUGGUGCGUGUCAUGCAGGGGGCUGCUUGUAGGCACUUCUGAUGGUUCCUUUUUUUUUUAUUUUGCUUUAAAAGCAUUGAAAUUAGCCAAAAGCUAAAGCAUAUAAUGGUAUUUUGUAGUUUAAUUGUGAAUACAAGGCUGGACUGGCACUGGAAGUCACUCAGGUACAUCUAGUCAAAGGCCAGAAGAAUAAGCACUGCGGGUAUUCAGUGCUUUAUCUGAUUAGAAAAGCCUGGCACAGAUGUGAUUUCUGCUCCAUAUAUCAAGUUAUGGCAGGCUUUUGCUGCUUCAUUAUGAAAGCAUGUGAAGUAAAAUAGGUUUUGGAACAUAAAAAAUGACAAAUCUGGGAAAAUAUCUAUAUACCAGAUGGGUGUAGGAAGAAUCUUUGUGACAAAUAUAUUAUUAAGGGAAUGCGCAUAAGGAAAGAAACAGUGCCCCUCUCCUCCAAGGAUGGACAGGCAGGAAGGUGGCGUCUCACUGUGUCUAAUGUAUUCUCAUCUAGCCUAAAUCUAAUUAAUUGUAUGGCAUCGCUGACAUAAAAUCUAGGCACCACAUGCAAUAAUCAUAAGCUUCAUCGGGGUGCUGGUAGGACCUGGCGAGUACUCUGCCAUCCCCACUUUGUUCCCCUGGACGUCUCACAGAGGAAAGCUGCUGAUGCAGGGCCCUGGCUGCGCACCAUGGGCAGAUAGUGGCCGCUCACCUCCUCCCCUCACUGCCACACUCCAUCAUCCUCCUCUGAGGCACUGCUUGGAGGGGCCAUGUAGGAAUGGACAUUAUCUGUAGGUUCCAGCUUGAGGCACCUGCAACCUGGGGGACUCUGCAAAAUGCUGCCCUGCUGCAUGGUGCAGAGGUCUCAGCUUUCCCUUGAUGCACACCUUGUUGGGGUUUUGCUACAUACCUGGUUUAGACUGAGGGUGCAAAUGACCUAACCAUGAUUAGUGUGUUCAGAAUUGAAGUAGAAAUGAAAAAGGGAGGAAGGUGGGGCAGUCCUGUCGCUUGGCUUCCUGUAAUGCGAUUUCACUGAUGCCCUAUCAGCUAUCUGAUUGCUCUUUUCCUACUUACACCAAACA
Long non-coding RNA from Centrocercus urophasianus (Greater sage-grouse), 4253 nucleotides. RefSeq lists it as uncharacterized. The transcript has 10 exons. NCBI's taxonomy places the organism in Eukaryota, Metazoa, Chordata, Aves, Galliformes, Phasianidae. The record is from RefSeq and is a predicted model, not a curated record.